GCAGCGAUGUCCGAGUGGAUAAGGAGACUGACCAGAAAACAGUUGCGUUCUGCCCGCGUAGGUUCGAAUCCUGCUCGUUGAG
RNAcentral lists this transfer RNA (82 nucleotides) under Angiostrongylus costaricensis. It matches the Rfam family "tRNA". Rfam says of the family: Transfer RNA (tRNA) molecules are approximately 80 nucleotides in length. Their secondary structure includes four short double-helical elements and three loops (D, anti-codon, and T loops). Further hydrogen bonds mediate the characteristic L-shaped molecular structure. tRNAs have two regions of fundamental functional importance: the anti-codon, which is responsible for specific mRNA codon recognition, and the 3' end, to which the tRNAs corresponding amino acid is attached (by aminoacyl-tRNA synthetases). tRNAs cope with the degeneracy of the genetic code in two manners: having more than one tRNA (with a specific anti-codon) for a particular amino acid; and 'wobble' base-pairing, i.e. permitting non-standard base-pairing at the 3rd anti-codon position. Lineage: Eukaryota; Metazoa; Nematoda; Chromadorea; Rhabditida; Metastrongylidae. The record is from Rfam by way of RNAcentral.